GUGCUUAACACAUGCAAGUCGAACGGAAAGGCCCUUCGGGGUACUCGAGUGGCGAACGGGUGAGUAACACGUGGGUGAUCUGCCCUGCACUUUGGGAUAAGCCUGGGAAACUGGGUCUAAUACCGAAUAUGAUCAUCGGCUUCAUGGUCGGUGGUGGAAAGCUUUUGCGGUGUGGGAUGGGCCCGCGGCCUAUCAGCUUGUUGGUGGGGUAAUGGCCUACCAAGGCGACGACGGGUAGCCGGCCUGAGAGGGUGACCGGCCACACUGGGACUGAGAUACGGCCCAGACUCCUACGGGAGGCAGCAGUGGGGAAUAUUGCACAAUGGGCGCAAGCCUGAUGCAGCGACGCCGCGUGAGGGAUGACGGCCUUCGGGUUGUAAACCUCUUUCAGCACAGACGAAGCGCAAGUGACGGUAUGUGCAGAAGAAGGACCGGCCAACUACGUGCCAGCAGCCGCGGUAAUACGUAGGGUCCGAGCGUUGUCCGGAAUUACUGGGCGUAAAGAGCUCGUAGGUGGUUUGUCGCGUUGUUCGUGAAAUC
Molecule: ribosomal RNA, 540 nt
Filed under: Mycolicibacterium neoaurum
Lineage: Bacteria; Bacillati; Actinomycetota; Actinomycetes; Mycobacteriales; Mycobacteriaceae
Description: bacterial SSU rRNA
Rfam family: Bacterial small subunit ribosomal RNA
Source: RNAcentral